ACCUGGCGACGAGUGGCGAACGGGUGAGUAAUAUAUCGGAACGUGCCCAAUCGUGGGGGAUAACGCAGCGAAAGUUGUGCUAAUACCGCAUACGAUCUACGGAUGAAAGCGGGGGAUCGCAAGACCUCGCGCGAGUGGAGCGGCCGAUAUCGAUUAGCUAGUUGGUGGGGUAAAGGCCCACCAAGGCGACGAUCUGUAGCUGGUCUGAGAGGACGACCAGCCACACUGGGACUGAGACACGGCCCAGACUCCUACGGGAGGCAGCAGUGGGGAAUAUUGGACAAUGGGCGAAAGCCUGAUCCAGCAAUGCCGCGUGAGUGAUGAAGGCCUUAGGGUUGUAAAGCUCUUUUACCAGGGAUGAUAAUGACAGUACCUGGAGAAUAAGCUCCGGCUAACUCCGUGCCAGCCGCCGCGGUAAUU
Molecule: ribosomal RNA, 420 nt
Filed under: Aeromonas salmonicida subsp. salmonicida 01-B526
Lineage: Bacteria; Pseudomonadati; Pseudomonadota; Gammaproteobacteria; Aeromonadales; Aeromonadaceae
Description: bacterial SSU rRNA
Rfam family: Bacterial small subunit ribosomal RNA
Source: RNAcentral